Molecule: unclassified non-coding RNA, 21 nt
Filed under: synthetic construct
Source: RNAcentral
GCGUCACCUCGAACAAGUCGC